GUAAAGAAAAUGGGAUGAGAGCAGGAAACAUUGUAGCAAUCCUUGAAAAACCUAUCCAGUUUCAAAGCUGCCAAUCAGGCUAGAACUGAACGCUAGCGUUACUUGAGGAUGCUGUAGCUUCAUUCUAGGUUAUGGCAAGUAAGUUUGCUACACACAAUGUUUUAUCACUGAAAAUUUGCAACUGCUGCUCUGUGCACACGAGAGAUUUUAGAAAAAUUCCUGAUCAUUUUCGCUCAUGGGCUGUUAACUUAAGGAGCCUAAGGAAAUUACACUGUCAAAAAAGUCAAGUUUCUGCUUAGUUACAAAAAAACACUUGCUCCUCAAUACAUGCUGGACUGCCACACAAAUUCUUAUAAAACAUACUGCAACAUCCCUAGAGUGUCACAAGAUGGCAGGAUUACGCUGACAUUGAAAACACCUACAUAUUUGUGCUUUAGGGAAUUCAGGAACACAGCUGUGCAAUGCAUGCUCCCAAAGUUUUUGCCCACAUUCUGCCCAUGUUGUUCUAUGCGCACAUUCCUAAAGUGUAAGAGUCAGCUGGAAAGCCAGCUUGCCUUUCUUCCUCUCCCUAGUCCUAUUCACUAACAGUUCUGUUAAGGUUCCCCCUCUUUCAAACAUCCACACAACUAUCCUUGAUGUCUUGCAUGGCCUGGACUCUAGGAGAGCACUGCACCUUAAUUUUGUCCAACAGCAAGCUUGAAUUAAGUAUGGGAAAAAACCCACGACACAGACCACCCAGCCGAAAGAGCUGCUGAUUCCAGACUUCCCCUGCGGCUCACAUAUAUGAUUGUAACUAGUGGAUCAAAGUUAAUUCUAAAGUAGUUAGCUCAGGUGAUUCUGCUCUAAGGGUUCAAUAUAGGGUGCAGAAAUCCUUCAAGGAUUCAGCACAGCCAUGCAUGCCAUUAGCCACAUUGAAUCCCAAUCUCCUGUUAGCUGUACAGGGCUACUCCAGAGGAAAAAGAAAUCACAUCUUCAUAUUUUACCACAAAUAUCCCCACUCAAGUCCAAGAAAGGGACCUGAAUGCCAAGCCCAAAGGGCUUUGAAUUAAGAUGAAAUUCUAAUUCAAAUCAAACCCAUGUCCCAAGCAACCUCAUGAGAGAGGGAGAGGGAAAAUGAGAGCUUUCUCUUUUAAUAGCUAAAGCUGUUCAAUUGUCUCAGCCACUGAUCAUGAAAACACAGCAUAUGUGACUUGGCCCAGGUAGGCAGGAAAUGUGUAGCAAACUAGGAACUUCAUCAAGGGUUUCCAAAUUUCCAGGCAUAUAGCAUAAGUACCUUUCUUUUACCACCGCAUAACCCAUCAAAAACAUCACACCUCCAGUUUUAUCUCCUUUUGGUCUGUCUCCAAAAAAGUGCCAUGCGAUGAGCAGUGGAAGAAAAGGGAGCUGAUGAGACAUCUGUUCUGUAACACCAUUCUGAAGUGGGAAGGAAAACCUAUUCAGCAUCUGGCAAGGAUACAGUACUUGACUAUGGUGCAAGGGGCCAGUGGCCGUGUGGGGGAUUCUGAGGAAAGACUGCUGAUCCUGUUUCCAGAAGAUCUGCUUUUCCUCUCUGUAGUUAAGGAGAGAACUGCAAUCACUUACGAGUUAAGUAACAGAGGGGAUAGAGAAAACGGUCAAAGAAACAAAGAGCUGAGAGGAGCUGGAUCUAGUGAGCAACUGUGGGAGACAAAAAAAAGUCUGAAUAUUAAGGACAAAAAGGAGAAGUCUGAGGAAAAUAUAAAAGCAUUGUUUUUCUUUUCUUUUUUGAAGGGAAAGCUCCCCCUAACUGGAAUCCAGGCAAAGGAGAAAUCAGCUAUGCUGAGAAGGUUGCGGUUUGAAGUUACAGGAAGCCUGACAGAACCUAUCCUUAUCACCUGUUCCACAGCAGAGGAUUAUGAAAAAAUGCCUCUUCCACCUACAGACGGUAUUGGUCAGAGAACUUUACUGCAGCAAUAUCUCUUCUCAAGCCUGGGACUUUCCCAGCCACACAUAGAUUCAUCCAAACUGUAUGUUCCUCCCAAAUUAUCUUCUCCUUUUCCUCAAAAGACUUGGGUAGGGAGUUCUCUUCAAGCUCAUCUUUCUCCUGACAGGACUCAGCACCGAGUCCCACAAAACAUUGGGGAAUAAAAUAUCAGCAGGCAUAAGAAAAACAAAAAAGAAGAAAAUUCCCUCAGCAGACUGAAUUUGGGCCCUACUGGGCAGAAAACAUCUCUAUCUUUCACUGUUAGAGAAGGUAUACUGAAGCACCUAGUUUUCAUUGAUUUCAAUGUAAAUUAAAUAUUGAAAUAAGCAGGACUACUGAGGAGAGGAGGCAAGUUGUUAGGGCAGUUUGCCCUAUUUCAUGAAGCUGGAGAGACAGAUUAUAUCACACUACACCUUAAAAUACCAAUGAUCGCACUACCAGUUUAUGACUGAAUUCCUUGCAUCCUCCCAUAGCCAUGCAAAGUGGAGAUAGCCUCCUUCAAAGUAGGACCUUAUCUAGGUCCUAGCUUGCAGAGUCUAUCAUUUUCCCUUGGCCAGGAUAUACAACAGACCCAGCACAGAGGCUUAUGUAUAACCCUAUCUGGGCUCAGAGAAGAAGGAAGGUGAAUCAGGAGUGGAUGUUUUGAAAGCAGAAGAGAUGUUGGGCUCUGAGUAUUAAUCAAUAUGGCUAUUCUUUAGUUGAGCAUGGCUAUAUUUAUCUGGCAUGUAAAGUUCUUGGCAGAAUUAGUAUGUUCAUGUGCAGUAAAUAUGUUCCAGCCAGAGGAAAACCUUGAUUCUCUGACUCUUCAACCACCACCUAUCAUCCCUAAGAAAUCUGGGUGGUAUCAGAAGUAGGACAUUAGCAUGGAGUGACAACAAGAAGGGUGUGUCAGAUACAACACCAACAGAAAGUGAAGAAGCUACAAGAAUGAGUCCCUUAUUGGCAAAGCAAGGGUGGACCUGAAAUUGGAAUCAAAGCUUCUUUCGGACUGAGAGGGUGAAUAAGGGCCUGCACAUGAACUGCUCUCCACUGACAGCUGUGCUGAAUAGGCCAUUGUAAUCAGUACAGAAUCUUGUGGGUUUGACCUCAGCUGCACAACUGUCUUAAGGAGAAAUUUUUCCCAAUCUGCCUACUAUAUUUAUUGCCUGAUUCUUCUCAGAAAAAGAAACAUUGUAAAAUACUGUGUAAGUACUAUGAAUAAAACCCUUUAU
This is an RNA transcript of Dromaius novaehollandiae (emu), 3153 nucleotides long. RefSeq lists it as uncharacterized. Lineage: Eukaryota; Metazoa; Chordata; Aves; Casuariiformes; Dromaiidae. The record is from RefSeq and is a predicted model, not a curated record. The transcript has 3 exons.